Helianthus annuus (common sunflower) is the source of this 118-nucleotide long non-coding RNA. RefSeq lists it as uncharacterized. Lineage: Eukaryota; Viridiplantae; Streptophyta; Magnoliopsida; Asterales; Asteraceae. The record is from RefSeq and is a predicted model, not a curated record. The transcript has 2 exons.
UCAUCUGCUGCUGGGUUUACGGCUUCUGUCAUUCGUGAUAAUAGCACUCGUGAGUUCUAUUUGGAAGGAGGAGCCAUGGUGUUGGCUGAUGGUGGUGUUGUCUGCAUAGAUGAGUUUG